Molecule: long non-coding RNA, 1394 nt
Organism: Oncorhynchus tshawytscha (Chinook salmon)
Lineage: Eukaryota; Metazoa; Chordata; Actinopteri; Salmoniformes; Salmonidae
Source: Ensembl
CUUUAGUUUAGUAUCCAGUUAUAACACAUGACUUUAGUUUAGUAUCCAGUUAUAACACAUGACUUUAGUUUAGUAUCCAGUUAUAACACAUGAAUUGAGUUUAGUAUCCAGUUAUAACACAUGACUUUAGUUUAGUAUCCAGUUAUAACACAUGACUUUAGUUUAGUAUCCAGUUAUAACACAUGACUUUAGUUUAGUAUCCAGUUAUAACACAUGACUUGAGUUUAGUAUCCAGUUAUAACACAUGACUUGAGUUUAGUAUCCAGUUAUAACACAUGACUUUAGUUUAGUAUCCAGUUAUUACACAUGACUUUAGUUUAGUAUCCAGUUAUAACACAUGACUUUAGUUUAGUAUCCAGUUAUUACACAUGAAUUGAGUUUAGCAACAAAAGCACAUGUAUAGAACAUGUAUGGACAUGUGUUUCAGGGACUUCAGGAGAACAACACAACAGACAACAGACAACGGUUCUGCAGGUAGUGGAGAACAACACAACAGACAACAGACAACGGUUCUGCAGGUAGUGGAGAACAACACAACAGACAACAGACAACGGUUCUGCAGGUAGUGGAGAACAACACAACAGACAACACAGACAACGGUUCUGUAGGUAGUGGAGAACAACACAACAGACAACACAGACAACGGUUCUGCAGGUACGACAUAUGAGUAGACAGUUUAAUAGAUCCUGUAUAUGCAAGCAUCAUAGCAUACCAGUGAUGAUACGGAAGGCAGUGGCAGGAAGAUCAGGUUAGAAACCUGCCCAGAUAAAUGGACUGAUUUGGUGUUCCUGUCUCCACUUGUCUCUUUAGUCUCUGCUAUUCCGAAAUGUCUGCAUGCUUUUCCAGCACUUUUUCAUGUCAACAUAGUUUAACACCAGAUUGCUGACUAACACCAAAAUGGUUAGUAUGGACAUAUUAGUCCUUGUGUGUAUCCUGUGGUCUGGGAAUUGGAGGGGUUAACACUUCCUGCCAAGCCACAUAUUUAAACUCUAUUCUUCAGUAGGUGCUACUCGAGAGCGGCGAGACUCAGAGCAAACAACUAGUAUUGUAAAGGGAUAAUCCCUAUGGAACACCUGCCAACAUCAUCUGUGUGCUUACAGUUGCUCAUAUUCCCUCUUUUUCUAAACGUGUUGGGAGAAUGACUCUUCAGUCACCGAUAUGUCACCGAUAUGACAUCACACUCUCCCUGGCGGCAGGGUAGCCUAGUGGUUAGAGCGUUGGACUAGUAACCGGAAGGUGGGUUCUGAUAUGCUAAAGAGAAGACCUGGCAACAUUCUCUAGUGGUUCUGAUAUGCUAAAGAGAACACCUGGCAACAUUCUCUAGUGGUUCUGAUAUGCUAAAGAGAACACCUGGCAACAUUCUCUAGUGGUUCUGAUAUGCUAAAGAGAACACC